AGCGAACGCUGGCGGCAGGCCUAACACAUGCAAGUCGAACGGAUCCUUCGGGAUUAGUGGCGGACGGGUGAGUAACACGUGGGAACGUGCCCUUUGGUUCGGAACAACUCAGGGAAACUUGAGCUAAUACCGGAUGUGCCCUUCGGGGGAAAGAUUUAUCGCCAUUGGAGCGGCCCGCGUCUGAUUAGCUAGUUGGUGAGGUAACGGCCCACCAAGGCGACGAUCAGUAGCUGGUCUGAGAGGAUGGUCAGCCACACUGGGACUGAGACACGGCCCAGAAUCCUACGGGAGGCAGCAGUGGGGAAUCUUGCGCAAUGGGCGAAAGCAUGACGCAGCCAUGCCGCGUGAAUGAUGAAGGUCUUAGGAUUGUAAAAUUCUUUCAGCGGGGACGAUAAUGACGGUACCCUCAGAAGAAGCUCCGGCUAACUUCGUG
Molecule: ribosomal RNA, 433 nt
Filed under: uncultured bacterium
Lineage: Bacteria
Description: partial 16S ribosomal RNA
Rfam family: Bacterial small subunit ribosomal RNA
Source: RNAcentral